CAGAGAGAGAGACGGAGAGACAGACAUAGAGACAGACAGAGAGAGGGAGACGGAGAGACAAGAACGGAACAGAUUUCACUUCAACAUUCUGGACACGAUCAGACGUUGAUUUGAUAAAAAAAAGGGAGGAGUCAAGAAAUCAGCCACAAUGAUGGUAAACGUGUUGCUCUUCGCUCUGAUACUGCUGGCAUCCAGCAGCCAGCCGGCUGAAGCAACCCUGAAACUCCGCUGUCCCAGAAGUGCAACCACAAAUACAACAUCUGCCCCAACCACAACAAAGGGUAUUGAUAAUGCAGCCGAUGCCCCAAUGCCCGCUACAACCACAGCAACAACUGCAGUAACAACUACAGCAACAACCACAGCAACAACUGCAGUAACAACCACAGCAACAACCGCAGCAACAACUGCAGUAACAACUACAGCAACAACUACAGCAACAACUGUACCAGUAACUGCAGCAACAACUGCACCAGCAGCAACUCGAGAAAGUGC
This is a long non-coding RNA of Solea solea (common sole), 492 nucleotides long. RefSeq lists it as uncharacterized. The transcript has 3 exons. The record is from RefSeq and is a predicted model, not a curated record. NCBI's taxonomy places the organism in Eukaryota, Metazoa, Chordata, Actinopteri, Pleuronectiformes, Soleidae.